AUUGAACGCUGGCGGCAGGCCUAACACAUGCAAGUCGAGCGGAUGAAGGGAGCUUGCUCCUGGAUUCAGCGGCGGACGGGUGAGUAAUGCCUAGGAAUCUGCCUGUUAGUGGGGGAUAACGUCCGGAAACGGGCGCUAAUACCGCAUACGUCCUGAGGGAGAAAGUGGGGGAUCUUCGGACCUCACGCUAUCAGAUGAGCCUAGGUCGGAUUAGCUAGUUGGUGGGGUAAAGGCCUACCAAGGCGACGAUCCGUAACUGGUCUGAGAGGAUGAUCAGUCACACUGGAACUGAGACACGGUCCAGACUCCUACGGGAGGCAGCAGUGGGGAAUAUUGGACAAUGGGCGAAAGCCUGAUCCAGCCAUGCCGCGUGUGUGAAGAAGGUCUUCGGAUUGUAAAGCACUUUAAAUUGGGAGGAAGGGCAGUAAGUUAAUACCUUGCUGUUUUGACGUUACCAACAGAAUAAGCACCGGCUAACUUCGUG
Molecule: ribosomal RNA, 484 nt
Filed under: uncultured bacterium
Lineage: Bacteria
Description: partial 16S ribosomal RNA
Rfam family: Bacterial small subunit ribosomal RNA
Source: RNAcentral